This 5456-nucleotide long non-coding RNA is filed under the name Olea europaea subsp. europaea. Lineage: Eukaryota; Viridiplantae; Streptophyta; Magnoliopsida; Lamiales; Oleaceae. The record is from RNAcentral.
CUUCUUCACAUGCCUCCAAGAAACCCAACCCAUUCAAGAUAAAAAUUCAAAAUAAUGUAUGGAACCUUGUUAGCCCCGUCUUUCAUGGCUUCCUUAACAAGCACCUUUUCGUUAGCCUUCGCCUUAAAAAGGCCGACUCUAAAAGAGCCAACUUUGUCUCAGUACUUUUUAGUUGGUUGAGAAGCAAUGCCUUUUCACUCAUUGCCUUAUCCAGGCCCUUGGAAAUAGUAAACUUUUUGGCCUUAAUUGAUUGAAGCUCUUCUUUGAGACACAAAAGUUCAGCUUCAAAUCUUGGGAAUAAGCAGCAGGGCUCUCUUUGGCCAGUUCCAACUCUUAGUAACUCUUUUAACAUUGGCCACCAAAUAAGCCUCCAUUGCGGCAAAGACUUCAGAGCCUUUGCUAAUCUCUUUUUUCCUUUUCAUUUCUUUCUCAGCCUCUUCCAACCUUUUCUAAAGAGUUUUUACACCCCUUCUCCAAAGAAUCAUUUUUCUUCUCUAGUUUGUUAGUUUGCAAAACACAGACCUCAUACUUUCUUUGUCAAUCAUGAUGAAGAAUGAUAGCUCGCAAGAGAUGACCGUUAAUAAUAUUUCUUCUUUGCUUGAGAGCCAUAUCCUUCGUAAACUUAUCUCAAUUGGAGUUAAAAUACAGAAAAGAGUAUAUGUCGCUCUAGAGACAAUGGCAGGAAUCAUUGAUAAAGCCCUGGGGUCUAGCUCCUCGUUAAGGUGAGGAAAAAACUAUAGCCUUGGUGUUUACUAUGUUUAAGGUCUUUCUAGCAUUUCUCUUUUCCUCUUGGGAGGGUCAUUUACUAGGUUUGACAAUGAUUGACGUGUGCAAAGAUCCCUAAGUUAAAGCAAUGGGAAAACCUUCAGUCGUGCGAGAUGGUAGAGGUUGUUUAGUUUUACUUUCACUCUCAUGCGAAGUUUCGUCCUUAUUUUACCUAGAGCUCCCUAUGGGUGUAUCCUUAGAAGGUGGAGGUAAAGCCAAUUUUUGGCAUUUAGGAUCAGCGUUAAAGUUGAUCUUCAUCCAGGAAAAGUCAUCAAUUUGAGAUUACUUAGGACAAAAUAAUACCAUGAACUCACUUAAAUCCCCCUCAAAAAAAUUAAUAAGGCCUUAUUUCCAGUCGGAUUAGGAUGAUAGCAAAUAUCAACCAAGAUAUGAGUUACUCUUAAUAGUAGAGUGGUUAAUUGAAAAAGUUUCAAACAGGGAAUUACCAUCGAUUCAAUAAUAGAAGCUUUAUACAACACAACUUCGUAAACAACAAGAGUUAUGGUCUGGAUUAAGAAGCUCGUUAAUGAACUUGAAGUAGUUCCUAACGUUGUUGAUCAAAUACCUCUGUAUUAUGAUAACAAUGGAACCAUCGCGUAAGCGAAGGAACUAAAUCUCAUCAAUGAUCCAAACAUAUGUUAAGUGUAAAAUCCCGAAUUUUUUUAGCAUUAAUUUAUUUAAUAGGAUUGCAAUGUUCAGUUAAGUCCUUAUACAAGUUAAUUAGUUAUCUCUAUGGUUAAUUUGGAUCUAUGUGAAUAUCUUUAUAGUUGAGGGACCAAAGUGAAAAUAAGUUUCAGAUUUUAUACCUUUAUUAAAUAGGCCAAAUAGUUAAUUAUUGAAGGAGUUANUUAAUUAAAGAAUUUGAAAGUUUGAGGCUAGAGGUUGUUGCACCUUCUGUACAGAAAGCAAUUGUUGCAGCUCUAAUGGUUCAACCCACUCUUAGAGAACGGAUUAGAGAAGCCCAAAAGAAUGACCCAUUUUUGUGUAAAAUUAUGGCUGAAGUUGGGACAGAUAAGCGAAAGGGAUUUGCAAUAACUGAGGACAAGGUACUUAUGUAUAAAGGCAAAUUAUGUGUUCCUAAGGAUGAGGGAUUAAGGAAAGAAAUUCUUGAAGAAGCACAUUCUACUGCUUAUACAGCACAUCCUGGCAGUACAAAAAUGUAUCGAGAUCUUCGAAAUACAUUUUGGUGGAGAAACAUGAAAGGAGGGAUAGGACUUUUUGUAAGUAAAUGUAUGGUAUGUCAGCAAGUGAAAGCAGAACAUCAGAGACCUUCAGGGUUGCUUAGACCACUAGAUAUACCGGAGUGGAAAUGGGAACACAUUACCAUGGAUUUUGUGGUAGGAUUUCCGAGAUCCGCUAAAGGAAACAGUGCUAUCUGGGUAAUAGUGGAUCGUCUUACAAAGUCAGCCCACUUUCUUCCAGUCAAGAUGACAUUUACCAUGGAACAAUAUGCACAGGUUUAUGUUAAAGAAAUAGUCAGGUUACAUGGGGUCCCCGUUUCUAUUAUUUCAGAUAGAGACCCGAGAUUCACGUCAAAAUUUUGGAAAAGUCUACAAAAUGCUAUGGGGACGAAAUUGAAAUUUAGUACUGCAUAUCACCCACAGACUGAUGGACAAUCUGAAAGGACAAUUCAGACACUCGAAGAUAUGUUAAGAGCGUGUGUACUAGAUCUCGGUGGCAGCUGGGAAACACACUUGCCUUUAGUAGAGUUUGCCUAUAACAAUAGUUUUCAAGCAACUAUAGGCAUGGCACCUUAUGAGGCAUUAUAUGGUAGGAAGUGCAGAUCACCUAUCUAUUGGGAUGAGGUUGGAGAAAGAAGAAUCCUAGGACCCGAGAUUGUUGAUCAAACAGUACGAGCUGUGGAUAAGAUUCGAGACAGAAUUAAGGCUGCUCAGGACAGACAGAAAAGCUAUGCUAAUAGAAGGAGAAAAGAUCUUGAAUUCCAAAUCGGUGACAAAGUAUUUUUAAAAGUAGCUCCAAUGAAGGGAGUACUUAGAUUUGGAAAGAAGGGAAAAUUGAGACCAAGAUUCAUUGGACCAUUUGAUGUAUUAGAAAGAAUUGGAGAUGUGGCAUAUAGACUGGCACUGCCACCAGAACUUUCAGCAGUACAUAAUAUUUUUCACGUAUCAAUGUUGCGCAAAUACUUACAGGACCCUAGUCACGUGAUCAACCAUCAAAAUUUAGAUGUACAACAGGAUUUAACCUAUGAAGAAAUGCCACUGAGAAUACUAGAAAGAAAGAUUCAUGUACUAAGAAACAGGGAAAUUCCUUUAAUCAAGGUCUUAUGGCGCAAUCAUGGAGUGGAAGAAGCAACUUGGGAAAAGGAAGAAGAUAUGAAAAUCAAGUAUCCCGAACUUUUCAACUAACUUAAGGUAAAUUUCGAGGACGAAAUUAUUUUAAGGAGGGUAGGUUGUAAAAUCCCGAAUUUUUUUAGCAUUAAUUUAUUUAAUAGGAUUGCAAUGUUCAGUUAAGUCCUUAUACAAGUUAAUUAGUUAUCUCUAUGGUUAAUUUGGAUCUAUGUGAAUAUCUUUAUAGUUGAGGGACCAAAGUGAAAAUAAGUUUCAGAUUUUAUACCUUUAUUAAAUAGGCCAAAUAGUUAAUUAUUGAAGGAGUUAUAAUUACCCUAUCAAUAUUGGGCUCAUUUUAAAGCUCGUAAUAAAUGGCGAAUUAUGGACUCAAGAAAAAUUUAAUUUGGAUUCGUUAAACUUGAGUUAUAGCCAAUUAAGAAAACUACUUAGUUAAUAAUAUUAUUUAUUAAUUCGAGCUAAAUUACUAUAUCAAUAUUGGACUCUUUUGAUAGAUAAUAAUUAAUUAUAUAUAUUAGGAUUAAGAAAAAGAUAUUUUGGAUAAGUUGAAUUAAGAUAGAAUCAAUAGAAGAAACAAGAUAUAAAUGAAAUUCUAAUUAAUAGGCAUACAGAUUUUCGGCCAUUAGGAAACUUGAAUAUGUUGAGUAUUGAUAAUUAUAAAAUGUAAUCAAAAGAUAAUUAAUGAAAAUCAUAACCAUGGUUUUAUGGAAACUAUUACAAGCUUUUUACUUCUUUAAUAGGGAGAUUCUAUUUUCACGUGUGCCUAAGUUUUGAAAUUAUAAUUAAGGGAAUAUCCUUGCUAAUUAAGUAGGUAAAUGUCUAUUUUUAGCUUUUAUUUAUUAUAAUAAUUAUUGGUUACUUGUAAUCAUAAUCUACUUUGAUUAGGAUAAAAACUAUUAUUCUUAAUCACGUAGGAUUUCGAUUAUGAUAGAGUCUUUUAAUAAUUAUCAUAUUGGAAUAGUUAGGACUUUAAUUAAUUAAACUAGUUAAAUUAUUUCAUUUGAAACACUCUUUAAAUUAUUUUGAUUUAAUCAAAGACAAGAGAUAAUUAGUUAUCUAUUGUUUUAUUAGAAUAAUAAAAAUGUAUUAUGCAUGCAAUUAGGAGGUUCCCAGUCCACGUGGGUAAACAUCAUGCAGGAUAAUGCCUAUUUGUCUUUUUCCUUAUUAUAAUUGUAGUUGAUUUUGAACUUAUCUAAACCCAAUAGUUAAUAGUUAUCACUUAUCAGAAUUCUAAUUAAUUAAUCAAAUUUUUAGUAAUUAAUCAAAUUUUUAGAGGAAUUAAAUAUCUUUUCUUUUGUCCAAUUUCGGCCAUUAUGAUAGACUUCAAUUCUUAACAAACUCCAUAUAUUAUUUAUGUAGUCUACUAUUUAAUUAAUUAAGUUUAUGGUUAAUAUUUAAUUAGUAUGCAUAAACUAUUAGUUAUUUUAGACUAAACUUAUCCUAAUGAUCACGUGUGCAAAGGAUAUGCUCCAGUAAUGUCUCCUCAUUAUUAUAGUAGUUGGUUUGGGCACCAAUAUCAAAAGUUAAUCCCCAAGUCAGAUUAUAUCAAACAGGAGGUUAGGAUUUCCAAACCAAAUUUCUGGGAUGUACUUGGACGAAAUUUAGAGUUCUAAUUUCAGUGAAAUUCCACUCCCCACGUGAUUACCCUACACCGUGGUUUAGUAUAAAUAUAGCACUAAGCCUCAAGCAUUCAGUCAUUAAUUCCUCAUUCUUCUUCUACAAGUCUUUAUUCUCUCCUCCUCUUUAAAAAUAUUUCUCCAUAUUAUUAAGGCUUUUUAAGGAUUUGGAAUUUCAAUAAAGAAUCACGUUUUCAGCAAUUUUGUUUUCCACGUUCAUCUUCAAAAGGUGAGAUGCUCAGUGCUAUUAGUGGUUUGUCCACAUCUUUUCAAAUACGUUGUUAUGUAUGGAUUUAAUUACUUCAGUUCAGAGCUCCUUUGGGAGAAAUCAUGAUACAGUUUAAGGCACAAUUUAGCCUUCACGUUAUUUGCAGCGCUUGCUUGAAUUAUCAUUUGUCAUGGUGUGAUAAUUCUCAUGUUAUGUUGGUAAGAGAAUUUAUGCAUAAUUUCACGUUUGAUUUGAAUGUGGAGUAGCAAGCACCUCAUUGAGUAUAAUUCGUUAUACUCAUCCCUCUCUAUUUACAAUUUUCAGGUAGAAAUUAGUAUGCUGGACGGCGGUGGAUGGAUGCAUAUUGGACCAAUGGAUCUCCAUCAUGAAGUACUUUAAUUUUUAGAAACACUAGAAUAUUUAUUAACAGUUGAUUAUUAUUAUUUUUAAAUUUAGACUCAAUUGCGAGUCACGUCAUAACUUUCAAUUAGUCCUAUUUUUAUUAUUUGUUAGAACUACUUUUAUUAAUGUUUGAUAAAAGAUAUGAUUCCAAAUUGUUCC